CUGGCAGGACAAAGGACCCCCCCCCCCGCCAAGAAUGCCCUUGGCUUGAUACUCAAGGCAGGACGGCAGCUCAGCCCUGGGACAACAAACCUAUGCAGGUUUGCCAAAAAGUGGCGUCCCUGGCAGGCAGGCCCCUUCAUGUGUGAACGCAAGGAUGGCGCACAAUCAGUCUUCAUCGGACAAAGAGACACGAGGUCACACGGCGUGGCAAUGGACGGCGGCCACGGUGCGGGAACAAAGCUGCUCUUCCCUUAUUUGCCACAUGGAUGCCUCAGGCGGGGCCAGCGGUGGAGGGAGGGAGGGUUGGGGUGGCGAGGGGAAAAAGCGCUGAGGGCGGGUGGGAGCUUCCCUGCCCUGCUUCAACCGAAACUCUCCCCCCCCACCUACCACAGGUGAAAAGGAGGGGGGGUUUCUAUGACUCCAGCAGCUCACCAUCAAACCCUAAGGGGCGGGCGCCACACAGGGAAAGCGGAGGGAGGGGGAAGGGAGGGGUCUCUCUCUCUCUCUCUCUCUCUUUGAUAUGGAUCGGACAGGCAGGGCGCGAUGUCUCGUGGCUCGAAGCGCUUCCCCGCCUCGGGGUCGGCGAGAAGCCUUGCUCGUGAGCAAGCACGCUGGCUACGAACUGAUAUCCGCGGCGCCCCUUUGUUGGUGGCCCCCAAACCAAUGCAUUCUGUAUCCUGCUGCUUCGCUGGGCCGGGUUUUAACUGGUGAUUCCGAACUGGGGGCAAUAAUUAACACUUCAGUUACAAUAUUAUUAAGAGUGGAAAGACGAGUAACGAGAAGAAAGAUCCCAGAGGCUACAUCCAUACAACAGCUACAACCUUCUAUAAGCAAUGAAGAAGAAAAAACAGAAGCUUUAAAAUAUAUGAGCACCUGACAAGAUACCUUCUCAGGUGACUCUAGUUUGGAAUUGGGAGGGAUUACAUAUGAGGAAGCUAUAUGUGUACAUAUAUAUAUAUAUAUAGAGAGAGAGAGAGAGAGAGAGAGAGACCGACCGACCACGUGUGAGCGAUGUGUAACUAAUUUAAAGCAUUAAUGAUGUAUGUGUC
This 1049-nucleotide long non-coding RNA is filed under the name Salvator merianae (Argentine black and white tegu). RNAcentral's name for it is "lncRNA (ENSSMRG00000004430.1)". The record is from RNAcentral. Lineage: Eukaryota; Metazoa; Chordata; Lepidosauria; Squamata; Teiidae.